RNAcentral lists this long non-coding RNA (2004 nucleotides) under Equus caballus (horse). RNAcentral describes it as "lncRNA (ENSECAG00000033969.3)". Lineage: Eukaryota; Metazoa; Chordata; Mammalia; Perissodactyla; Equidae. The record is from RNAcentral.
GACUCACGUGGGGAGCUCUAGACUCAUCUGGCCCCGUGGAAACCAGCAUCAGUGUUGUUUACAAGCUCCCCAGGUGAUGCUAAUGUGCAGCCUGGAGUGAGAGCCAUGGACCGAGACCUCUUCCCACUUCCUCCAUGGAAUUUUUCUUGCAGUCUGUUCUUGCAACCCACAGGCCCCCUUCCCUCACAACCCCAAAGGAAAGAUGAGUUUCCAUUAAGACAAGACCUUAGCUUUAACUUGAUGUCUUAAGCAGAUGGUGGCAGACCUAAUUCACAGUGUCAGCGGGGUCCUGAAUUUCUAUUCCAGCCCUUACGGCCAACUGGCAGCCUGGACCUGAGUGAGUGACAGAUGUCUCCUGAGCAGGACAGACAGACUUCGCAGAUUCCUUGAGGAUAGGAAUUAUGUCUUGUACUCAUUGCCCAACUGCAAGCCACCCACUCCUGGCAUUUUGGAACCGAUCCGUAAAUCACUGGGGGCUCAUCCUAAAUGUGCUUUACACCAGGCAAAGCCUGCCGGAGGGGAUGCUGGAGAAAAUGGUCAUGUGGAACCUUCCAGCUGGUCCGACUGGUCAUUGUGUCUGCUCCAAGAAAGUGUGAAAGCGUCACUUCCUGGUAAGUGGCCUUCCUUUGUGAGGAGCAUAACUCAUCUUUUCUCAGUCCCAGGGGCACAAGCAGACCUGGUGAGAGACUGCGUUGCUGCACUGUGACUGUGGUCCCAGGAGGGGAGGAGCCAAAGUCCCAGCCAGGGUGCCCCCCCCCCCCCCCCCCCCCCCCCCCCCCCCGCAGUAUCCUGCUGUGGCCUUUGCACAGACCCUGGGUUAUGUGGCAUAUACUCUGGCCAGGCUAGAAGCUGGGACAUCUUGGCCAACUUCUGAGCUUGAGCCCAAACCUGGGAGGCCCUUCCUCCAUGGAGCACAAAGGUGAGACCUGUGGCCAGUGGCACUGACUCCUCACCGGCACCAGGACCAGACUUCCUAUCUGUGCACUCUAGACUCCAAAACAGGGCUCUCUUGGGUCCCAUCUCCCUUGUCCACUUCUCUCAAGCAGACGGCCCUGGGAAGACUCUAUAUGUACCUACUCCCCGUGAACCCUACGCCCCUGCAUGGGAUGUCCUUCCUGCUCCUCUCUGAGCCAAACCCAACCCCCUUCCCAGUUCUUUCCAUCAACUCUCUCUCAGGCUUGGCAGCUGUGGACCAGUCUGUAGGGAAAUGUCUGUAGGGCAAGGGUGAAUUUGGGGCCAAACUUCCUGCUCAGGAUCAUGGACUUUGGCGACAGACACACCUGGGAUCAAGAGCCAGUUCUUCCAUUCACUGACCAAGUGACCUUAGGCAGGAAUUCCUCUUUUCUAGCCCAAGUUUUAUCUGUAAAAUGGGGGUAAUAGCAGUCUCACAGGAUUGUGGAGAGAAUUAAGAGAUGCCAAAUGUAAAUAAAGUCUUGGGCCCGUAGCCAGCCCUUAGUAAGUGGAAAGCAUUUUAAUGCCAAGUCAUUGGCUCAUUGGUACUUCUGAGUGUCUGUGUGCCCAGGCCUCCGGCUGCUCAGGACUCCCCAGGAUGCAGGGGUGUCACUGGCACCCUGGCUCUCCUGGCACCACUCCAUGGAAGUACGUGGGGAUUGUGGUGUGAUGCUCAGCCAGGAGGCUGCACUCUGCACGCCCAUUUCAGGGAGGCUGGGAAGGGAGGCAGUGUGGGUUUAGAAGUCAGGCAGACCUGGCUUCCCAUGCCGUGCCAGUGUCUAACCUCAGUCCCCUGUAAACGCCGGUUGGAUGUUGCGUGAGCCUCGGUCCCCUGAUCUAUGAAAUGGGUGCUGGUGUGGACACCGAAUGAGUGAGCUGGUAGAACACCUAGUGAUUAGGAGCCCAGCCAGGUUCUAGAGCCAGGCUGCCUGGGUUCAGAUCCCCCCUCUGCCACUUUCUAGCUCUGCAGUUUUGAACAAGCUGCAUCAUCUCUUGGUUUGAGUUACUCUAAUGAAAAGUAGGGAUAAUAAUAUCUAUCUCCUAAUGCUGCCA